This is a long non-coding RNA of Alosa sapidissima (American shad), 101 nucleotides long. RefSeq lists it as uncharacterized. The record is from RefSeq and is a predicted model, not a curated record. Lineage: Eukaryota; Metazoa; Chordata; Actinopteri; Clupeiformes; Clupeidae. The transcript has 3 exons.
CAAUCUAGGGCAAUCCAAGCCCACAGUGGUGGGUAGAGUACUGAAAAUCUAUACUCAAGUACAAGUAUAUGUACUUCCUUCAAAAUCUACUUGAGUAAAAG